AUACGUAGGUGGCAGGCGUUGUCCGGAAUUAUUGGGCGUAAAGCGCGCGCAGGCGGUCUCUUAAGUCUGAUGUGAAAGCCCACGGCUCAACCGUGGAGGGUCAUUGGAAACUGGGAGACUUGAGUACAGAAGAGGAGAGUGGAAUUCCACGUGUAGCGGUGAAAUGCGUAGAUAUGUGGAGGAACACCAGUGGCGAAGGCGACUCUCUGGUCUGUAACUGACGCUGAGGCGCGAAAGCGUGGGGAGCAAACAGGAUUAGAUACCCUGGUAGUCCACGCCGUAAACGAUGAGUGCUAGGUGUUAGGGGUUUCGAUGCCCCUAGUGCCGAAGUUAACACAUUAAGCACUCCGCCUGGGGAGUACGACCGCAAGGUUGAA
RNAcentral lists this ribosomal RNA (377 nucleotides) under uncultured bacterium. RNAcentral's name for it is "bacterial SSU rRNA". It matches the Rfam family "Bacterial small subunit ribosomal RNA", at positions 523 to 898 of the family's 1533-position model. The record is from RNAcentral.